GAUGAAUGCUGGCGGCGUGCCUAAUACAUGCAAGUCGAGCGAACGGACGAGAAGCUUGCUUUUCUGAUGUUAGCGGCGGACGGGUGAGUAACACGUGGAUAACCUACCUAUAAGACUGGGAUAACUUCGGGAAACCGGAGCUAAUACCGGAUAAUAUUUUGAACCGCAUGGUUCAAAAGUGAAAGACGGUCUUGCUGUCACUUAUAGAUGGAUCCGCGCUGCAUUAGCUAGUUGGUAAGGUAACGGCUUACCAAGGCAACGAUGCAUAGCCGACCUGAGAGGGUGAUCGGCCACACUGGAACUGAGACACGGUCCAGACUCCUACGGGAGGCAGCAGUAGGGAAUCUUCCGCAAUGGGCGAAAGCCUGACGGAGCAACGCCGCGUGAGUGAUGAAGGUCUUCGGAUCGUAAAACUCUGUUAUUAGGGAAGAACAUAUGUGUAAGUAACUGUGCACAUCUUGACGGUACCUAAUCAGAAAGCCACGGCUAACUACGUG
Molecule: ribosomal RNA, 497 nt
Filed under: uncultured bacterium
Lineage: Bacteria
Description: partial 16S ribosomal RNA
Rfam family: Bacterial small subunit ribosomal RNA
Source: RNAcentral